CCUUCAAUGACGAUUAUAUCAAAGUGACUUUCGUUCUUCUGAGUUUGCUGAAGCCACAUUUCAGGUACUGAGAAGG
Small nucleolar RNA from Nyctereutes procyonoides (raccoon dog), 76 nucleotides. RefSeq annotates it as small nucleolar RNA SNORD59. The transcript has a single exon. The record is from RefSeq and is a predicted model, not a curated record. Lineage: Eukaryota; Metazoa; Chordata; Mammalia; Carnivora; Canidae.